UUGGGUGCAACUGUAAGCCCCAUACCCUAACCCUAGAUAAGAAGAAGCUUGAUGGAGAGAGUUGAAUCAAACAGAGUAAGUUUGUCCGUAAAGAAAAUAUGGAAGAAGGUGUUGCAAGAAACAAAUCGAAGUUGUUGUUUCUAAUGACUCGAAAGACCAAAAAGAAGAAAAGGAAGAUCUACAUCCCAUACUGCUAUGUAGUUCUGAGUAUUGAAUUUUUAAUGCAUGUUGCUAACUGUUUGAUUCUCAGUCAAUUUGUGCAUUUCAUUAUUUGCUAAUUUCAAUUGAAAAAUAAUGUUAAUGUGAAUGUGUUGAUUCUGAAAAUGCUACUUACUAGUUUCCAGAUAGCUAUUUUAAAUUAAAAUGUGCUCAAGUCAUUUCUGGUAAACCCGAGUCUAUUUCAGUAAAAGUAUUGGGAUACAUUUGAUUGCAUGUUUUAGGUGAUGUUGGAUUAUAGAAAAGGGAUUGGACCAGUAAGAGAAUUUUAUAUGGCUGAUUAUUAUAGGAAACUACUUGUGUUUCCGUUCCUUUUUUUUUUUUGAAGACAACACUGGUUAGAAUGAACUUGUAAACGUCUUAUGUUUGGCAAAUUUUGGGAUUUUUGCUCUUGCCAAGUAUAUAUACGUUGGCUGUGUUGUUGUAGAAUGAAAUAGAAAUGAUAUGAUUCUUGAGUUACUAUAAAACUCUAGCUCACGGCUAGGUUAGUAUUUGUUGGUAAUAGAUUUCUACUAUUGGUUAAAUAGUGGUUGAUAUCUAGUAUUAAUAGAGGUUGAUACUGUAAUUAAGAAGUUCUGGUUAAUGAAAUAGAAAUGAUAUGUAGGUUAAAUAUUGGUUGAUAUCUACUGUUAAUAGAGAUUGAUUGUGUAAUUAAAAAGUUGUAGUUACAUUUAUUGUUGAGACUUGCAGUAAUUUCUGAGUUACUCUUGAACAAAGGACACCGAGGAACCCAAUGGAGUUCCAAGGUCGCGAAGCAGAUUUCCGUGGGUUCUACAAAACGUGCAGAAUUGCCCCUUGAUGCUUGGGCGCCUACUACCUUAGGGAAGUAGGUAGAACUUUGAAGUUAUGGUAGCUAGUGGUAUCUCAUGGAAAAAUUGACUUAGCUAAGAGAGCAAGUGCUGAAGGGAGAGUCUAACCUGAGUCCAUAGCAGAUAGAUGAGAUGGUUAUGAAUCAGAAACGUUUUGAUCUUAAAUGUCUCCGCAAGGUAGCUGGUGAUCACAUAUCUUUGUAUGAGCAGAAUGAUGCCCUCAUGUAAUGCAGUUGGAUUCUGAGCGGAAAGAGCAAAACAGGCUGCAAAGCGGAUACAAAGGCUCAAGAAGAUAGAGGCAAAGCUGAGAACGUCUAUAAAUGCUGCUCUUGAAAAGAUGGACAUGAUACAAUCCCUAGCGAUAAGGAGAGUGACACUGAAUUUGUGGAUGGGGAUGCGGGAUUCUGAUGCUGGUUCUUUGGGGAAGUCAAUUGGUUUCAAUGUUGAGCAGGAAGGCAAAGGCGAAGUCGCAAGCUCAGAAUGGACAUUCGAGGAGACUCUGAUGUCGAACAGAUUGAACAUUCCGACAACGGAUUUCUCUGCAAUACAUGAACGAUAUAAAUGGAAAUCACAUCAAUAUACACCCCACCAUACAAAUUCAAGACAUCUUGCAAGUAAACCUGACGCAUAAAGCGACACUGAGUGAAAGGAUCUUUUGUAACUUUAGGCUACUGAAAAGCAUCAGGUACUUUUCGAUCGCAAUUCAAGAGUAGAAGGGUUGGAAAAAUUUACCUCGACGCAGAGCCAAAAUGACUUAUGAACCAAAUCAGGAUGCUGUGGCUGUCUAAAAGCGAAAAAAAGAGUAUGGUUCAUAUGAGACAUCUUAUAUACCCAAUUGGUAAGCGAACAAGAACCUUUUAUAACACUACUAGCUCAGGUUAUUGUAGAUUCAACAUGGGCAAAGUCAAGUGGCGCUGGAAUUGCUCUAAACCUCAUUGCAGAUUUACUAAUUGUGUGAAUUGUGAUAGUAAAAGUAGAGGCCAAAUGUGAAUUUGAAGCAGAAGCAAUUGU
This is a long non-coding RNA of Papaver somniferum (opium poppy), 2036 nucleotides long. RefSeq lists it as uncharacterized. The transcript is spliced from 5 exons. The record is from RefSeq and is a predicted model, not a curated record. NCBI's taxonomy places the organism in Eukaryota, Viridiplantae, Streptophyta, Magnoliopsida, Ranunculales, Papaveraceae.